GAUGAACGCUGGCGGCGUGCUUAACACAUGCAAGUCGAACGAGAAGUGAAGACGGAAACCUUCGGGCGGAAGGCUUUAUUUCGAGUGGCGGACGGGUGAGUAACGCGUGGGUAACCUGCCUCAUACAGGGGGAUAACAGUUGGAAACGACUGUUAAUACCGCAUAAGACCACAGCACCGCAUGGUGCGGGGGUAAAAACUCCGGUGGUAUGAGAUGGACCCGCGUUCGAUUAGCCAGUUGGCGGGGUAACGGCCCACCAAAGCGACGAUCGAUAGCCGAUCUGAGAGGAUGACCGGCCACAUUGGGACUGAGACACGGCCCAAACUCCUACGGGAGGCAGCAGUGGGGAAUAUUGCACAAUGGGGGAAACCCUGAUGCAGCGACGCCGCGUGAGUGAAAAAGUAUUUCGGUAUGUAAAGCUCUAUCAGCAGGGAAGAAAAUGACGGUACCUGAGUAAGAAGCCCCGGCUAACUACGUG
RNAcentral lists this ribosomal RNA (478 nucleotides) under uncultured bacterium. Its description in RNAcentral is "partial 16S ribosomal RNA". It matches the Rfam family "Bacterial small subunit ribosomal RNA", at positions 28 to 507 of the family's 1533-position model. The record is from RNAcentral.